CUAAAAGUUUCUAGUUCUUGCCCAAGAACUACCUUUUCUUCGUCAGCAACUUCCAAACCGUGAUUAAGAUCUAAUAUCAUCUGCUCUGUAGAUUUCAGUUGCUGCGUCCUGCUGGAAAGUUCCUCUCUAAGAGUUUCUAUUUCUUGCCCCAGCCUUGUUUUCUCAUCCUGCAAUUGAUCAGCCAAGGUUCUCAAGUCUUCAAUGGUCUUCUCUAUCUCU
Molecule: unclassified non-coding RNA, 219 nt
Filed under: Hevea brasiliensis (rubber tree)
Lineage: Eukaryota; Viridiplantae; Streptophyta; Magnoliopsida; Malpighiales; Euphorbiaceae
Source: RNAcentral